AUUGUGACGUUGUGAGCUGAUGUAAGAUGAAGGAUCCCAAGAAAGUGCUUGAAAGCAUAUUGUGCACUCCUGUAACUCAUAUUUCUUGAAAAUGUCAACUUCAGUUAAAUAUGGAACUCUUUAACUUUCGUUUGUUCUACGAAUUUUAUGGAACUGUUAAUUUCAUGUACCAUGUCCCAGGAUUAUGGUUGAAACCAAAUGGAAUCCUGUUGGUAGUAUUUGAAGAAUAGGGAGUGUGACUCGAUAGGAAUUUCUUUGGUUAGAAACUCAAGCUUAGCUUGAAAAGAAGAGGCAAAAGAUAGAGACAGUGCCUAUUCUUGAAGAAUACCCAAAUGCACUAUGUGCUGCCAGCUAUAGCUGCUUGAAUCCAGAUUUAUACCACCACAGCUUUCGUCUUUCUAGCUAGCUCAACAAUGUAAUAGUAUAACUUUUGUUCUAUAAAUGAAUGUGCAUAAUAUGAAGUCCG
Lycium ferocissimum is the source of this 466-nucleotide long non-coding RNA. RefSeq lists it as uncharacterized. The transcript has 3 exons. NCBI's taxonomy places the organism in Eukaryota, Viridiplantae, Streptophyta, Magnoliopsida, Solanales, Solanaceae. The record is from RefSeq and is a predicted model, not a curated record.